GACGAGCCUCACAAACGUUAUUCGGAAUUACUGGGCGUAAAGCGUGCGCAGGCGGUUUCUUAAGUCAGAUGUGAAAGCCCCGGGCUUAACCUGGGAACUGCGUUUGAAACUGGGAGACUUGAGUGUGGCAGAGGGGGGUGGAAUUCCACGUGUAGCAGUGAAAUGCGUAGAUAUGUGGAGGAACACCGAUGGCGAAGGCAGCCCCCUGGGUUAACACUGACGCUCAUGCACGAAAGCGUGGGGAGCAAACAGG
Molecule: ribosomal RNA, 253 nt
Filed under: uncultured bacterium
Lineage: Bacteria
Description: partial 16S ribosomal RNA
Rfam family: Bacterial small subunit ribosomal RNA
Source: RNAcentral